Long non-coding RNA from Suricata suricatta (meerkat), 556 nucleotides. RefSeq lists it as uncharacterized. NCBI's taxonomy places the organism in Eukaryota, Metazoa, Chordata, Mammalia, Carnivora, Herpestidae. The record is from RefSeq and is a predicted model, not a curated record. The transcript is spliced from 3 exons.
AUUCUUGAGACAUCUUUGGGGCAGAAAGGUGGUUUUAUUCAGGCAUGGGGACAGGACCCGGGGGCAGGAAGAGAGAGCGGUUCGUGUACUUUGGAGCUGGGGGAGGCGUCUUCAGGAUGAUGCUGGUCUUGUGUCCGUUCUGCGGGAAGCCCCUGCGGAGCCGGAGCUGGUGCAAGUGCGGGAGCGGUGCGGGAGCCCUGUGGGUGCCGGAGCAGGUGGGACACGUGUGAUAUUGCUGGACGCUCCCAGCUACCCGAAAACAGGCCAAGACAAAAAACAAAUGGUUAAACGGAUGAGUCCCCACCAGUCAACCAGAAGGCAAUCCUGUCAUAGCCUCAAGCCCAGGAACCCCGACCUGCCACUCAAUGCUCUGCUAGAGGGAGAAACACCCUCCAGGGGACCGGAGCCAGGCCUCCAGGAAGUCCCUAGCACGUGAGUCUCUUUGGAAACUCCCCCUGGACUUUCUCUCCGCCGACUCCAUCAAACUCCACACUUACAGCGCAGCUCUGCCUGCCCACGGGUCCUGUCCCCACACUUUAAUAAGAUCACCUUUUUG